Olea europaea var. sylvestris is the source of this 806-nucleotide long non-coding RNA. RefSeq lists it as uncharacterized. Lineage: Eukaryota; Viridiplantae; Streptophyta; Magnoliopsida; Lamiales; Oleaceae. The record is from RefSeq and is a predicted model, not a curated record. The transcript has 2 exons.
CUCUCAUUUUUACAAAUUUUCUGUUUUAGCUGCGUCUCUUCCUCCUCCCACUCCCUUUAACCUUUCCCGAUUGCGUCUCUCUCUCUUCCAACUACCUUUCUCCAUUCUUCAAACCAAAGUCUUGACUCUCUACGUCGUGGGUCAGCAUCUUGACUCUCUAUGCCGUGCGUGAGUAGUGAGUACGUCUGUCGUCUGCAGUCUACCAUGCUUGGUGCAUCUAUGGUGCUGUCUGUGGUCUGCUGUCUUUGAAGUGAACCCUCUGCCGUUCGCCGUCUCUCUAAUUUCCAAUCACUGCCUUCUUCUUGAAGAUAUCAUCUGCAUGACUAUGUUGGAUGGGGAAGACUACGUGGGAAGGAAUAAUUGUUCAACUAUAGACACUCCUUGUGUCGUAACAUUAUUGAACGUUGCAUUGGAGUUUUAAAGGCAAUAUUUUUUAUUUUGAAAUUGAUUACCAAUUAUCAAUUUAAUAGGCAAAGACAAAUUCCUACUGCAUAUUGCGUAAUAAACAUAUUUAUUCGUCAUGAGCACAUUUAGAUAAGUUGUUCGGAGAGUAUUCAAAGGAAAAUACGGUGUUUCAAGACAUACCAGAAUCAAGUCAAGAUCAAGAAGUCAUACAUUUUUAUGUAAGUCAAACGGUACAAAUGGGACAAGUCAGGGAUCAAAUUGCUACACAAAUGUGAAAUGACUACUCAAGAUAUCGUAUAUGAUUUCGUGGAUGUAUUUUAUAUUUUGUUUUAGUGUCCACUUGUUUUUUCAUGACACAUAAACUUCUAAUAGUAUCUAUUGAACUGUGUUGUCAAAUUUAA